This is a long non-coding RNA of Aegilops tauschii subsp. strangulata, 1256 nucleotides long. RefSeq lists it as uncharacterized. The record is from RefSeq and is a predicted model, not a curated record. NCBI's taxonomy places the organism in Eukaryota, Viridiplantae, Streptophyta, Magnoliopsida, Poales, Poaceae.
CAUCCCCAAGCUUGAACUCUUGCCUCUCCUUAUUCUCCUCAUAUCGAUACCUCCUCGAUCUUCGAACACUUCAUCAACACAAAGCUUAACCGAACUUUUUAUUAGAGGAGUUAGUACAUAUAACAUCAAAUCCCAUCAUGUCUUGUUGUAACAUUAUUGUAUAAUUAUAGUCAAACAUUACCCACUGUGUGCUAUCACAAUUAUAUGGCUCCCAAGUCAAUGGGGCUCAACAAGAUUUCAAACAUAAGCAAAUAAACAAACUAUAACAGCAAUCUCUUAAAACAUGACAGUCUGUAAAGAUGCAGAUGGUACAUAUCUCUACUACUAUAGUACACGAUUUUUUGAAUAUUUGAAUCUGCCCUCUUCUCUCAUAUUUUACCCGCCACUUCCAGAAUCGAAUCAUCUGUGACCGUCAACUUAUUAAAUCCAACGGCCUGUGUCACUCGGAUUCGCCACUCACGCACUCCCGCCAAACCUGAAAACGAGUCGCCCCUUCUGGAGAACUCCACAGCCCACGGUAACCCACGAUACCUCCACCCUCCUGGCUCUAGCAAAUCGAUUCCCUGCCAACCUCCCAUUUUUCAUCUCACGCUGGUCUUUCCCCUGGAAUCUGGAUGCUCCGUCUCCAAUUUCUCUAGCCCGUGAGUCACACUCACACACCAGCAGCUCCAUUGGUCCAUGUCCGGUCCACACACCCUGAAUGGCAGCACCUCCGAAUCACCUCCACGUCCAGAUUGCCCCGUCUCCUUGCAGGCUCUGGCUUGCUUCAAAAUUUGUUUCCGCCUGGUGAUUAAAGGCUCAUACGAGCUGGACAUCCAUCUACGGCCAGCUGACCAUAGUGCCGUUGACCACAGGUGUUUGUGUUUAUGUCCAAACAGUACACUAUGAAAGGCAAUGCAGCAUAUGUUCAUUCUGUUCAUCAGGGAAUAGCUCCUGCAACACUAGAGUACUUGCAAAGCCAAAUAAGGAUAUUGACCCAUCAGGGAAAAGCACACAAAAUAUUGUCUACAAGGAUGUUUUGCUAUAAUUCAUGUGCGUGCUGUGUACUGCAGUGUGAUGUUUCUAAUAUGGUUGUAUUGAUGUAAAUAGCACCCAGGAAAAUAAUGUUAUAUAGGGCUUCAGUCAUUAGCUUGUGCCUGUGAAAGUUGUAGACCAAAAGUUAUAUUUGCAGCGGUACUAUUCUAGCAUAUACAAUACUUUAACCAUGUACUAUUCCUUUUUCAGUUAUUGCAUAUAGCAGAAAUCCAGCAACAGAA